AGACCUUGAAUGUGUCAGGCUUCAGGUUCACUUCCGACAUCUCUCCCGGGCGCCCGGAUCUGCAAGUAAUUUAACCUUGUUUUCAUAGAGCGCAAAGACGUUCCGCUUGUUUACACUGGAGACAAAUUUUCCUCAAUUGACGCAAUCCUAUUGAUGAAAUAAUGACUUUCUUCCUCAUUUAAAGAGAGCCUGCCUUCUGAGGAGCAACCCCUUGGUCAGGUGAUGACUAGGCCCAGAAGAAAUGAAUGGUUCAGGGUUUGUAUUCUGGAGCCUCGCCACAGAAAACCAUCUCCAAGGGAAGAGACUGACAGUUGUCUGACGGAGUGUCACACUCGCGGGAUCAUUCGUUCAGGAGUACCAGGAUUUACCGGGCAAUUCCUUCCACUGUGCUGCCUGUAUCGCGUGUUUCCUCCAUUUUGCUCCACACCCGGACAGCUCCACACCCCUGCACAUAAAUGCCAUUCUGAACUUUACUAUGUUGGGGAUAUACACCACUUUUCUUUUUGCUCGCAGAUGAGAGGCACCACGAUCGUGCUGCGACACAAGAGGGGAAGGGUGGGGUGUAGGCACAGCUGGGUCGCCUGUCUCUCUUGCCCCAGAUUCCCCAUAACUCCCUUUAGUUACAGUGGCCUGGCUUUCUUUGGCCUCUGGACAUGUGGUUCUCAAAUUUGGUCACGAUAUCCCACAACUGAGGGAAGGAGCUGGCCAAGUGAGGUCCAUAUCCUGACUUUCAUCUGUCUUGGUUCUUCCUUGGCUCCUGUAAUAUCAUGACUUUCUAUAGUUUCUCAUCUAGCUUUGGAACUGGUGUGUGUGUGUGUGUGUGUGUGUGUGUGUGUGUGUGUGUGUAGAUGUAUGUAGGGGCAGCACGGAGUCCCUUUCACAUGGGCCCAAAGGCAGCAGUUAAGGAGUAAGGGGCCAUUCAUUUUCCUAAAAGAGUAAAAACUAACCUCUCCAUAUAAAAAUGAGGCUUACUGUAGCACAGAAAGUUCUUGGUCUGAGCUCUACCCCUGCCAUAGAUACUUGCUAGCCCUCUGCCCUGAGCCCUGGCUUCCCCACUAGGAGCUGGCGCAUGCUCCAUAGGUCCUACUCUGCACUGGCGGUCCGUGCCUCCAUUUCUCUCGUUCCCGCAUGGCCCAGCAGGAGAAGAUUCACUGCGACUGGUGUAGACUGGAUCUCCUGCCCAGAACCAGAACCACUCACUGCCCACUCAUGUGGGCUCUCCGCUUCCACGUUUGCUGAGGCAAUAUUUUCCUAGUGUGUAUUUUAAAAAUCUUUUCAGUUGUGGUGCCCGUCUCCCAUUGGGAAAAUUAACUGCUUACAGAUGUGUGAAGCAGGCAGCGAAACCAUUGGGGUUUGGAUAUCACUUCAAAGGGGAGAGAAGGGAAGGAGGGCUGUCUGUCUCCCAGAUAGACAGCAAACUUCUUUUUUAAAAGUUUUUAAAAAUUAUUAUUGUACGUGUGUGGGUGUUUUGCCUGUGCUCUCGGCGCAUGCCUGGUGCCCGAGGCCAGGAGAGGGCACUGGAUCUCUUGAAAUUAGAGUUACAAGCAGUUGUAAGCCCCCACGUGGAUGCUGAGAGUUAAACUUGGGUCGGCUGGAAGAACAGCCAGUGCUCUUAACCACUGAGCCGUUUCUCCGGCCCUGACAGAAAAUUUCUUGACUUAUAAAAAAAAGUCCCAACGUGACUGCCAUUCAGAAAUUGAAGGGUGAGGACUGUCUGAAGGCUUGGGGAUGAAGCGGCUGUUUGCGGGAACAGCCAGCGAAUGCUCGUGAUGCAGGGGUACAUUUCUUCUCCAUCCUGUCUCAGGUGACACCUAACCCCUAAUUCAGUCAUGCUAGCUCUCCGCUCCCACUCAGCCUCACGGUCAGCUUCCGUUAGUCUGUGCGGUCAUUUCCCUUCGAGUCCAGGGUGACAGUCUGGUGCCCCAGCCUAGAAAUAGUACCCAGCAGACUCUGAGGCCUUGGGUUCCUGGGUUCCUGGGGAUGAUGGCUCUCUGACAUUCGUCCACCCCUCAUCCUAACUCUCCUACUUCGAUUUUGUCUGACCCUGGAGUGUCCACAGGUCCCCCAUGAGGCUUUCAUUCCUAGCUGUUACCCCAAAACCCGCACUUGGCACAGCAGAAAGAUACCCACGAAUAGAAAGGCAUGUGAUGGACCCCAGGAUCUUGCGCAUAAGUUUUCUUUUCUCUGUUUUUUUUUCAUUCUCAGCACCUCAACUCCCUCCCCACAGCAGGGUCACAUCCAUCCUGCCCUUCCUGUGGCAUCACGCAGGCGCGAAUGAGCAUGGGGCACGCGCAAGCACGUGGAGAGUGCGCAUGUGCUGGCGUUCGUGGUCAGACAAGGAUGGAGAACAAACUUUUCCCCAACGGGUGCCUCCCGAGGCCGGACAUUUUUCUUACCUAAAUCUGGGACGGCUUCUUUUCACCACAGCCGAAUGAGUUCAUUGGUCUGUUUCUUCCGUUUCUAGGUGCGAUGGCGCGGCUUUUGUCCCAUGAGAGCGACUCCGGGAAAUGAAAAGUUUGAGCAGAAGAACCUCAGAGGCUGACUCGAUUCUAGUGAAGUAAAAGAUCUACUUGAAACAGAAGGCGUAGGUCCCUGCGGUGCUGUCCUUUACACAGGAAUUUCUUGCAGCUUCAUACUGUUUGAGCUGAAUAUUGUGUCUUAGUUACUUUUCUAUCACCAUGAAAUAAACACCACGAACAAGGCAGAAGAAAAAGCUCAUGGGCGGCUUGCUUACAGUUCCAGAGGCAGAGAGUCUUGAGAAUCUGGGACCAUUAUGGUGGGGAGCAUUCAGGCAGGCAGGUAGGCGGGCAUGUUGCUUGAGUGUAGCUGAGAACUUAU
Alexandromys fortis (reed vole) is the source of this 2838-nucleotide long non-coding RNA. RefSeq lists it as uncharacterized. The record is from RefSeq and is a predicted model, not a curated record. Lineage: Eukaryota; Metazoa; Chordata; Mammalia; Rodentia; Cricetidae. The transcript is spliced from 3 exons.